Molecule: ribosomal RNA, 500 nt
Filed under: uncultured bacterium
Lineage: Bacteria
Description: partial 16S ribosomal RNA
Rfam family: Bacterial small subunit ribosomal RNA
Source: RNAcentral
AUUGAACGCUGGCGGCAUGCCUUACACAUGCAAGUCGAACGGCAGCACGGGAGCAAUCCUGGUGGCGAGUGGCGAACGGGUGAGUAAAGUAUCGGAACGUGCCCAGUCGUGGGGGAUAACGUAGCGAAAGUUACGCUAAUACCGCAUACGAUCUAUGGAUGAAAGCGGGGGAUCGCAAGACCUCGCGCGAUUGGAGCGGCCGAUAUCAGAUUAGGUAGUUGGUGGGGUAAAGGCUCACCAAGCCGACGAUCUGUAGCUGGUCUGAGAGGACGACCAGCCACACUGGGACUGAGACACGGCCCAGACUCCUACAGGAGGCAGCAGUGGGGAAUUUUGGACAAUGGGCGAAAGCCGGAUCCAGCCAUGCCGCGUGCAGGAUGAAGGCCUUCGGGUUGUAAACUGCUUUUGUACGGAACGAAAAGGUUUGGCCUAAUAAGCUGAGCUCAUGACGGUACCGUAAGAAUAAGCACCGGCUAACUACGUGCCAGCCGCCGCAGUAA